Molecule: long non-coding RNA, 2237 nt
Filed under: Sus scrofa (pig)
Lineage: Eukaryota; Metazoa; Chordata; Mammalia; Artiodactyla; Suidae
Description: lncRNA (ENSSSCG00005042330.1)
Source: RNAcentral
AUUGCAAGGAGUAUUUAUUAGCACCUGCAGCCUUCCAGGAAUGUAUUAGGUUCAACAGAAUAAACAAGGUGAAUUAGAUAACCCCGAGUCACGUGUAGGAGAGAAGAUGAGUGGUGAUUGUGAUACCGUUUAUUGAGCAUCUUGUGUGUCCCAGGCACUGCCAGGUCUCUGGCCAAGUCCUCUCAUUUGGCUUUCCCUGCUCUGUGCCGCAGGUCCGGGAAACAAGACGCCGAAGAGAUGGAACGACUUGGCCUGUCCAGUUACAGGGUUAGCAGUUGUUUGCCCUUUUUUUUUUUUUUGGCCGAACCCAUGGCAUGUGGAAGUUCCCGGGCUAGGGAUCGAACCCCAGCCACAGCAGCGACAGUGCCGGAUCCUUCACCUGCUGAGCCACUAGGGAACUCCACACAGGCAGCCUUGAAUAGAGGGCACUGACACAGCCUGUGCUUACUCAGCUCUCACCUGUGUCCAGCCCUGCCAGAGUGUGCCUGAUUUCACUCGUUAAAGCCUGACAGCUUUUAGGUGGGUGCUGUUAGGGUCCCAUUUGCACAGGAGCAGACAGGUGCAGUGAGGCCCAGGGUUACAGAGUUCGUGGUGGAGAAGGUGGAUGCAGGUGGUCUGGCCCCAGAGCCUGUUGUGCUGUAUCUGUGGCGGUUGCUUUAAAUUAAUGGAAGCUCUGGGCUUAGAUUUGUGAUUCUGAGUGUUUACUAUGGACGUGAGGGGCUUCCUGGACGGUGGGUAGGCCUGGGGUCGUCAGUUCCCCCUAAACUGGGAAAGUGGUUCCUGGGUUGGGGCUCACUAAUUGCCACAUGAUUCAACCAAGUUCCCUGUGUCCAUGUUCCUAAAUUUCGUGAGAUUUAUCUAACUGCGUAUUUAUUCUUUCUUCUAUUCCUUGACCUAGAAAGACGGUCACCACGUUUACACUAAAAAGAACGGCUGAGGGAGUGAAAUACAUCCCCCAUUUUGUGGUGUAGUAAGUGCGGGCUCCUGGGAUUUAAAGUUUGUUCAGGGUCACCUAUGGCUUUUGAGCCAGGAAGACACUACCUUUCGGCAAGAAGGCCUUCUUGGGCCAUUGUUUACUCUUCUAGCAGGGUGGCUACUGUGUAUCUCUUUCUUUAACCUUAAUUUUUUUUUCUUCAAAUAAUACAUGCCCUGUGCAUAGUUUAGGAUGUCAGUAGCGCCAAGAGACACUGAGAACGCUGCCAUCCUCUCCUGCCUUUCCGGAGAGGCAGCAGCACUUGACACUGUAGAAUUUACCUCAUGUUUCUCCGUAACAUGCUUGAGUUGUCCUGUCUUUGUUCACCGAUUUUGGGGUUAUCUGCCAGCUUCCACUAAUGGCAGAUGACGGUACCACGUCCCUCGUCCCCUGUCAUGUAGGUAGCUCCCCGUUUUGGUUAAAUCCAUUUCAGCACUGCUGCCAGUCUGUCCAGGUCGUCACUGUGCUUUGCUGAGCUGAGCGCUUACCCCUGAUCCUAUUUCUUCUCUUGUGUAGCCUUUUUUACUUACCUGGAGUUAACGUUCACUUAUUUUUCACAGCCGCUUAAAGAUGUGGCAUUGCGGCUGCAGCAGCUUGGGUUGCUGCUGUGACGCAGUUUCCAUCCCUGGCCCUGGAGUUAGCAUAGGCUGCAGGCACUAAUUGCCUGUGUUUCCUUUGCCUGUUCUCUUUGAACCUCAGAAUUAUGUUGCGGAGACUUUCAUUCUGUAGGAUCUUUUUCCCACUCAGCCCUGGCAGCGCAUCUGUCCGUUCCGAGGUGCUCCUCAGGCACCCUACCCCAGACAGGCUUCCUGGGCUCAGGUCGGGGUCGGUCUGUGCACACGUCAUCCUGGGAGCUCUCCCGUCCUGCCUUCUGUGGCUCCCCUCUGGGUGUUCCCUCCUCCUAGUGGUGGCUCACGUUUCCAGUGGCUUCCCAGUAGUUUGCUGGGAGGCAAACUUUUGAGGCUUGCACGUCUGAAAAUGUUUUUAUUCUACCACUGCACUUAAAGAGUAAAUUUGGCGGGAGUUGCUGUUGUGGGGCAGUGGUAACGAAUCCGACUGGGAAACCUGAGGCUGUGGGUUCGAUCCCUGGCCUCGCUCAGUGGGUUAAGGAUCCGAUCUGGUGUUGCUAUGAGCUGUGGUGUAGGUUGCGGACGUGGCUCGGGUCUGGCGUUGCCCUGGCUGUGGUGGAGGCCGGCAGCUGUAGCAAUGAUUAGACCCCUAGCCUGGGAACCUCCACAUGCCGCCAGUGCAGCCUUAAAAAGAC